CUGAGGGGUGGGAGGUGUUGUUGGCUCCCUGUUGAAUGGGUGGGCUGCUCGGAUUCCGCUGCGUAGGCAGACUCCGGGCCAAGUUCCGCGUGACAGCCCCGACUCUAGUGUAGACGUGGCUGUGCCGCAAAGCGGCGACAUCAGCCAGACGCCGUACCACAGCAAGCAUGGAGCCCGCGCAGCUGACCGUCACCAUAUGUCACCUGGGUGCUGGCAGUCGUGGGACUGCAUUGCUGCAGAGCAGCAACUCAUUGCCUUUUGGCAGCAGACGGUGCAUUAUGACUGGUAGCCGUUGUCGUCGUACUCCUGGGUGCUCUUUUAGCCGACCUUGGUGAGGUCGAUCAGGGGCACCUGGGCAGAUGUGGGAGUGACUCAGCCAGGUCAUUCCCAUCUUCUACUGAGCAUCCAGGACAUGAUGGCUAGCAGACAUACUGCACCAUCUCCAGGUGAGCACCCAAGAGAUGACGAUGGCUAGCAGUCAUAAUGCAGCAUCUUCUGCCAAGCACCCUGGAGAUGAUGGCUAACAAUCAUACUGCACCGUCUGCUGCCAGCCUAAGAUGUAAAAGAUAGAUGGAGUGGAUCAAAACAAGAAAUAGACCCGAUUUGUUUUGUAUUCAUUUGCUGUCUCUCUCUCUCCGUGAAAUCAACGGCCUGCUAAACCCAGGGUUUUGAGUUCAAUCCUUGAGGGGGCCAUUGUGUGACAGUUGUUUGUGUUUUUCCUCGAUGCAAAGCCACCCCCUUUGUUGAUUUGAAUUCCCUGUAAGCCAUGUCGUCAGUCACCCCUCCUGAGAGCAACAGCAGACAAUCGUUUCGUGCCUUUUUUUCGGUGCAGACGCCAUACCACGGCAAGCAUGGAGCCCGCUCAUCUCAACGCAGCAGUCAUGAACAUUGUAAACACCUUGUGCAUUAUCAUGCAGUUUAUGCAGAACCUGAAAAACCAGGUGAGGAGGCGGCGAUGGCAACACGGUGAAGAGUGAUGAGGACGUGGACACAGAAUUCUCUUAAAGCGUGGCCCUCAGUGCUUUGGAGAUCAUGGUAUUAAUGGGGCAAGUUCAUGCUGUGGAAUGCCUAUUCUGGGCCCGGGAAACCACAGACUGGUGAGACUGCAUAGUGUUGCAGGUGUGGGACAAUUCCCAGUGGCUGCAAAACUUUCGCAUGUGUAAGAGCACUUUUAUGGACCUUUGACUUGCUUUCCCCUGCCCUGAAGUGCCAGAAUACCAAGAUGAGAGCAACCCUCACAGUUGAGAAGCAAGUGGCAAUAGCCCAGUGGAAGCUUGCAACACCAGACAGCUACUGGUCAGUUGGGAAUCAAUUUGGAGUGGGCAAAUCUACUGUGGGGGCUGCUGUGAUCCAAGUAGCCAAAGCAAUCACGGGUCUGCUGCUACCAAAAGGUAGUGGCUCUGGGGAAUGUGCAGGUCAUAGUAAAUGGCUUUGCUGCAAUGGGAUUCCCUAACAGUGGUGGGGCAAUAGAUGGAACCCAUAUCUAUAUCUUGGGACUGGACCACCAGGGCAGCCAGUGCAUAAACUGCAAGCGGUACUUUUCAAUGGUGCUGCAAGCACUGGUGGAUCACAAGGGACGUUUCAAAAACAUCAGCGUGGGAUGGCCAGGAAGGGUUCGUGUUGUUCGCAUCUUCAGGAACACUACUCUGUUUAAAUAGCUGCAGCAAGGGAUUUACUUCCCAGACCAGAAAAUCAGUGUUGGGUAUGUUGACAUGCCUAUUGUUAUCCUUAGGGACCCAGCCUAUCCCUUAAUGCCAUGGCUCAUGAAGCCAUACACAGGCAGCCUGGACAGUAGUCAGGAGCUUUCAACUAUAGGCUGAGCAAGUGCAGAAUGGUGGUAGAAUGUGCAUUUGGAUGUUUAAAGGGUCACUGGCACACUUUACUGACUCGCUCAGACCUCAGCGAAACCAAUAUUCCCAUUGUUAUUGCUUCUUGUUGUGGUCCACAAUCUUUGUGAGAGUAAGGGGGAGACAUUUAUGGCAGGGUAGGAGGUUAAGGCAAAUCACCUGGCCACUGAUUACACACAACCAGACACCAGGGUGAUUAGAAAAGCACACCAGGAAGCGUUGUGCAUCACAGAAGCAUUGAAAACCAGUUUCAGAACUGGCCAGGCUAUGGUGUGACAGUUCUGUUUUUCUCCUUGAUAAAAACCCGCCCCCUUGGUUGACUCAUUCCGUGUAAGCCACCCACCCUCCCCCCUUUGUUCACAGCUUGCUUGCAAAGGAAAUAAAGAAUACAUGGUUUUUAAACGAUAA
This is a long non-coding RNA of Gopherus flavomarginatus (Mexican gopher tortoise), 2255 nucleotides long. RefSeq lists it as uncharacterized. The transcript is spliced from 2 exons. The record is from RefSeq and is a predicted model, not a curated record. Lineage: Eukaryota; Metazoa; Chordata; Testudines; Testudinidae.